RNAcentral lists this ribosomal RNA (446 nucleotides) under uncultured bacterium. RNAcentral's name for it is "bacterial SSU rRNA". It matches the Rfam family "Bacterial small subunit ribosomal RNA", at positions 329 to 792 of the family's 1533-position model. The record is from RNAcentral.
ACCCAGACUCCUACGGGAGGCAGCAGUGAGGAAUAUUGGGCAAUGGAGGCAACUCUGACCCAGCCAUGCCGCGUGAGUGAAGAAGGUUUUCGGAUUGUAAAGCUCUUUCGGAUGUGACGAUGAUGACGGUAGCAUCUAAAGAAGCCCCGGCUAACUACGUGCCAGCAGCCGCGGUAAUACGUAGGGGGCAAGCGUUAUCCGGAUUUACUGGGUGUAAAGGGAGCGUAGACGGCAUAGCAAGCCUGAAGUGAAAGCCCAAGGCUCAACCAUGGGACUGCUUUGGAAACUGUUAAGCUAGAGUGCUGGAGAGGUAAGCGGAAUUCCUAGUGUAGCGGUGAAAUGCGUAGAUAUUAGGAAGAACACCAGUGGCGAAGGCGGCUUACUGGACAGUAACUGACGUUGAGGCUCGAAAGCGUGGGGAGCAAACAGGAUUAGAUACCCGCGUA